This is an RNA transcript of Osmerus eperlanus (European smelt), 2943 nucleotides long. It is a transcript of the gene named cugbp, Elav-like family member 3a, with no coding region annotated. The record is from RefSeq and is a predicted model, not a curated record. The transcript has 15 exons. NCBI's taxonomy places the organism in Eukaryota, Metazoa, Chordata, Actinopteri, Osmeriformes, Osmeridae.
GUUUACGACGUCAAAAGCAACGGAGUAGCCUACAUACACAGACAGAGAGGGGGAGCCAGCACAGAAGCGAGCGGCGGCAAUACCAUUCCCCUGCCUAUUAUUCUAACGAACCGCUUGAAUAAUCUAAACGAGGUUGUCAUUUUGGUAUAUAAUAGUAUUGUAAUCACAUUUGGAUUGGGAAAAAAAGGUUUGGUACACAAAGAUCACAACAAAACGGCGAGAUCAAGCAGUACUGGCCGAUGUUUGUGUCGGAUAAAGAACCGUCGCUGGGAUUGGUUACGUGCGCUCGCGGAGGGUAACUCAGAUAGGUCCUGAUUUACACCCCAAUGAACAAAACAGGAGACGAACACGGACAACAGUAAUUACUAUUAAACGAAUAUUGUAGGAAAAACCCGUGCAGAUCCCAUCGAAUCGUGGGAAAAGUAAAGAGGACCCCAAACCGAGCGUCUUAGAAUCAUCUGUUCAUCAUCAUCUCCAAGUCCUCCGGAGAUCUGGGUCUCCCUGACUCUUCCCCUGUCCGCUCUCUGUCUGUCAUUCUCCGGGAAUCAACCGGUCGUUCCCACCCCACGACGUUUCAAUGAAGGAGGCCGACGCGAUCAAGCUCUUCAUCGGGCAGAUUCCCCGGAACCUGGAGGAGAAGGAUCUGAAGCCCAUCUUUGAACAGUUUGGAAAGAUCUAUGAGCUGACGGUGAUAAAAGAUAAAUACACGGGGAUGCAUAAAGGAUGUGCUUUCCUGACAUACUGCGCCCGCGAGUCUGCCCUGAAGGCCCAGAAUGCACUGCAUGAACAGAAGACGCUACCAGGGAUGAAUCGUCCGAUCCAGGUGAAGCCAGCAGACAGUGAAGGCAGGGGGGAAGACAGGAAGUUGUUUGUGGGCAUGUUGGGCAAGCAGCAGUCAGACACGGACGUGAGGAAGAUGUUCGAGGCGUUCGGCAGCAUCGAGGAGUGCACGGUUCUCCGCGGGCCAGACGGAACCAGCAAAGGGUGUGCGUUCGUGAAGUACCAGAGCAACUCAGAGGCCCAGGCAGCCAUCAGCGCUCUGCAUGGGAGUCGCACCCUCCCGGGAGCCUCCUCCAGUCUGGUGGUGAAGUUUGCAGACUCGGAGAAGGAGAGAGGGAUCCGUCGCAUGCAGCAGGUUGCGUCCCAGCUGGGGGUCAUCAGCCCGAUGACCCUGCACCUCGGGGCUUACAACGCCUACACGCAGGCUUUGGUACAGCAGCAGUCCUUGGUCGCCCAGUCCGCCUAUCUGUCUCCUGUUGCCACGGUAGCGGCUGUGCAGAUGCAGCAACUGGCCGCCCUCACCCCCAGCAGCAUCAUCGCCUCCCUCGCUCCCUCCUCAGGUAAGGCAAUAUCUCCAGGGACCAGCACCCCGCCCGCCAUCGCGGCCCCCCCAGUGCCUGCCCUGCCUCCACCAAUCGCUGUCAACAGCUACCCCACCGUCCCAGCGCCACCCAAUGGACAGUCAGCGCCCGAAGCCCUUUACACCAAUGGGGUUCACUCUUACCAAGCCCAGAGUCCUGUCCUGGAUCCCCUCCAGCAGGCUUAUACAGGCAUGCAGCACUACACAGCUACCUACCCUGCAGCGUAUGGGCUGGUGGGCCAGCCGUUCCCGCACCAGCCAGCCCUGGUGGCCCAGCAGCACCAGCAGCCACAACAGCUGCAGCAGAGAGAAGGUCCAGAGGGCUGUAACAUCUUCAUCUACCACCUGCCCCAGGAGUUCACAGACUCGGAGAUGCUCCAGAUGUUCCUGCCCUUCGGCAACGUCAUCUCCGCCAAGGUCUUCGUCGACCGCGCCACCAAUCAGAGCAAGUGCUUCGGUUUCGUGAGUUUCGACAACCCGUCCAGCGCCCAGACCGCCAUCCAAGCCAUGAACGGCUUUCAGAUAGGCAUGAAGAGACUGAAGGUGCAGCUGAAGAGGCCUAAGGAUGCCAACCGGCCCUAUUAGGGGCAUCUGAAACCGCAGAGGGGGACUUUCCCGUCCAUACAUAUAUCCUGGAGACCGCAUCGCUAUGGCUACGGUUGCCUAGCAACCGCUAAAUCCUCCCCCCCUUCCUCUCACAGUUGGAAAACGUGUAAGAAUUCAAUCAAGAAAACCACUUGGGAUGUCCCAGCCUUUUGGUUGUAUCGCCAACCAUAUAGCACAGCAACAACACUUCACACACGGGGAAAAAAAUAAAGGAAUAUAUUGUAUGUAUCUGCAAAAAUAACAACAACGCCAGAUGUGUUGGUGACUCUGGUGUCCCUAUACUCUAUAGCUGGAUACCGUCCGAUUAUGUACAUAUACAUCUCUUCUACUGCCAGCCACCAAGGUCUACAUGAAGAAGCAUAUCACUGGUUUUAUUCUACUAAAAACAGGGUUUUACUGUAUAGUGUGAUUUGUGGUCCAUAAAACAAAAGCAAAUAAGGUAUGAGGAUAGGAAAGAGGGAUGGUAACUUUAUUGAAGAAAAAAAAAAGAAAAUACUAUUCUGUAUGAUUAUACCAUUGGUAAAAUUGUUAUGUAGAGUUAGUUUAUUAUUUAAAAGUAAAUUAAAAGAAAGGGGAGAUUGGGAGGGGGGGUGAUUCCGCUGGAAGAGAACUACAUUUCUUUUCACUUGUAAAUACCUUGGUUUUCAAUGAAGUGAAAGAGACAAACCUUUGUGAGUUUUAAGAUUCUCUGCUACCACUACUUUUAGUAUUGGCUUAGUGCGAGGGAGGGCUGGGAAUUUUGUAUCUUGAUUUUUUACGUUUAAUUUAUUUGUUAAUCAAUCGAUGAAGGAGGCGACAUGGCAAUUUUUUAUUUUAGAAAAUUUAGGAUUCCAGUGGUCUGCAAGACCAUGGAUACACUUAUUGUAGAGUUUUUAAUUACAUAAAUGUACUUAUGGGGGGGAAAUCAUUAUAAUGUUUCUUUAUUUAUUCUCUACAAUUGCUGUUUUAAAAAUAUGUCUUUAAUGAAAUAAAGUACA